UACGGAAGGUGCAAGCGUUGUUCGGAUUGACUGGGCGUAAAGGGCGCGUAGGCGGGUUUGUAAGUCGAUUGUGAAAGCCCCAGGCUUAACCUGGGAACUGCAGUCGAGACUACAAGUCUUGAAUGUCUGAGGGGUUAGUGGAAUUCCUGGUGUAGGAGUGAAAUCCGUAGAGAUCAGGAGGAACACCGGCGGCGAAGGCGGCUAGCUGGCAGAACAUUGACGCUGAGGCGCGAAAGUGCGGGGAGCAAACAGG
This 253-nucleotide ribosomal RNA is filed under the name uncultured bacterium. Its description in RNAcentral is "partial 16S ribosomal RNA". It matches the Rfam family "Bacterial small subunit ribosomal RNA", at positions 524 to 776 of the family's 1533-position model. The record is from RNAcentral.